RNAcentral lists this long non-coding RNA (3927 nucleotides) under Ananas comosus (pineapple). Its description in RNAcentral is "long non-coding RNA (ACOM_LNC007316)". The record is from RNAcentral. Lineage: Eukaryota; Viridiplantae; Streptophyta; Magnoliopsida; Poales; Bromeliaceae.
UGGUGACCUUUCCACCAUUGGUGAAGCUUUGGAGCUUGGAUUGGAGCCUUUUGGAGGAAAGAUGUAACACACUGGACCUUUGCAAAUUGCGAGGUUCGAGUGUUUGGACUGUGUCCUGAGCUUUUCCAGAUUUUCUGGUGGGUCGUUGACAGUGUUCCGACCUAUGGUUCGAAUCCCGAGAAUUGUAGUAUUUUAUGUAGCGCUAAGGUCACUAAAGAGUUGGACUUAGCCUACCCUCGGAUUGCAUUCUGCACGAGGUGUAACCGGUGACAGGUCGAUGGCUGUACCGGUACACAUUUUGUACCGGUACACUUCUGAUGGUUGUACCGGUACACUUGCGGCGAAUUUCGAACCCGAGCCUCGGGUUUGCAUUUUCGUAGGAUGUGUACCGGUACACUUUCCCGUGUACCGGUACACUUUGGCAGUUUUCGAACAGUUCGAACUGCAGGGGUGUUUUUGCAUUGUUGCACCUCUAUAUGAUACCCCACGCCUCCCCUUUGGUUUCCUGAGCCCAGAACUCAGAGGAAACAGGUGAGAGAGCUCCUCCUUGCCUCAUUUUGGAUUUCAUCUUCCUUUUUCUUGGUUUUUAGGUGGUUUUUGCUCUCUUUUGCCUUUUAGAGCAUUUCCCACCAUUGUUGGAGGCUUGGAUCUUGGAGAGGAGCUCAUUGGAGAGGAGAACUUCAACCCUAGUUGGUUUGGGGCCUUGUUGGGAGCUUCUUAAGAGGUUAGAUGCUUGUUCUCUCCUCUUGAUUUGUAUUUUGAUGGUGGAUUUGAGUUGAAACCCUAGAAUGUGAGUUUAGGGUUGAUUUUGGGCAUUUUGAUUCUUGGGCCUUUUGAGCUAAAUUGAUUGGAUUAGAACCUUUAUCUAGGUUGCAUUGGAAGGGAUCUAGCUUCCAUUUGGAGCUUAAAAGGGAUUUUCUACACUUAGGUGAGAUUUUAGCCCUUUUUGCCUUGAUGGUUAAUGUUUGAGUUUCGGGUUGUUCGUUUCGUUUGGGUAACCCUCGUUUUGAUGCUUCUAGGGUACUAGGAGUCUUGUGGGCACCUCCGUUCAGCGAAACGAAGGUUUCGAUUUUGGUGGGUUUGGCCUCACCUAGAUGAGAUAAACUUCUCAUAUGAGGUUUUUAUUUAUCGUAAAGUGAAAACGCAUGCAUAUUCUUAUUGGAUAGAAUAUUUGAGAAUUUUAGAAUGCUUAAAUUGCACAUGUCAUAUACCAUGCAUAUUUGACCUCUAUAUAGUAGAGAGUCUUCAUGUUGGGCUAGGGGCCUAUGGUUAGCAUUCUUACAUUGAUUGAGAUCAUGUUGCAUAUGGUACAUAUGGCAUAUAGAUUACACUCUUGGACUUAGAACGUAUGAUUGACGUGGUUGGACAUAUCGACAUUAAGUGACAUAGGCUAGAGUGUAUACAAAUAGUAAGCUAAUGUCAUAAAGCGGCAUUAGGCUUGGACUAGAUAUGAGUUUAGCAAGCUAAUGUCAUAAAGCGGCAUUACACUUGAUGGAUAUGCAAAUUGCAUGUGCAUGCUAUUAUUAUGAGAAUUAUGCCAAGUUGAUAGCUGCAUUGGGAAGAACAUACAUGUAGCAAUAUGAGAGCACGCUAGAGAGCAUGUGUAUUAAUCUAUUAUUGAUAGAACAAGCUAGCGUCAUAAAGAGACAUAGAAUGUGAAUUGAGCUUAGAUUAUAGCAAUGUUUCAGUGUCAUAAAGAGGCACUAAACAUAGUGAAUGUGGGAACUUCACCUUGAGAUUUGGACUUAGUAAAGCUAAGGUCAUUGACAUUGAAUUAUCGAACGGUUAAACCUUCACUUGAGGCAUAGACUAGACACUGGGGUUGCUAGUGUGCAUUUCCAUGUUAGAGACAUGAUGACUGUUGAGUUGCAUUUCCAUGUUGGAGACAUGACGAUUGGACUAUUGAGGUUUUGACCAUGCUUGCUUUCCAUUUGUGCUCAUACGCACAUGCUUGUGAGGGUCGCUCCCCACAAGCCGGCACUCCGGAGUUAGCCUACGCGACUUAUGUUCGCCCGUGCGGUAUCGAGUAGCCUACGGGGCCUGGAGGGAUAGACUCAUUCCUAGAGUAGGAAUGCUGGAGCUACCACUGGCACUUAGGCGGCACAAGCCGGACUACACCCGUGUAGAUCCUGAAUGAGAUUGAACCAGAAUACUAAACAACAAUUGACAAUCACUACUAGAUAGGUUAUAGUAGUUGGAUUUUCUUGAUAUGCUAUGGCAUAGUGUUGGACAUUUGGGCUUAGAGUAUGCUUGACAGUAUCGCUUAUUACAUUGUAGUAUUCUUGGUUGCUAUGAUAGUACAUACUAGAUAUGUAGUGGGCUCUAGAAUAUAUAUCACACUUUAUAGCAUUACUUGUUGCAUCAUGAUACAUUGUUUAAGUUUUGGGCAUAUUGGAUCAUGUAGAGUAGAUGUACUCCAUGUUGACAUUCAGAAUACUUGUGGCAUAGUAGAGUAGCAUUUUAAUUUCAUGCUUCAAUUACUGUUGAUAUUUCCUGUUAUCAUUAUUUGCUCGUUUGGGGCCUAGUGGUGCGAUUUGAUGCAGGUCAGUAAUUGCCCACUGGGAACUAUAAUUUAUAGUUCUCACGCCCCCUGUUUUAUGUUUCCUUUCAGUGCCUUCCACUCCGGGAGAGGCUCGGGAUCGCGGAAAAGGUUUCGCCUCGAGUUAGCUAUCGAGGGUCUUGGCGUUAGGUGGUCCACAUCUCUUUUGUUUUCUUUUGGAGAGGUUGUGAGAGUUUUGUACCUGAUUAUAGAGACCACCCUAUUUUUGUAUCUUGAGACUUAUGAUGUAUCAGUUUACUUUAUGCUUAGUAGUAUGACUUUCUUUUGAUUCUACAUAAUGUUAGAACCUAGCUAUAUACUUGCUCUGAUAUCUCUAGUUGUAGAUCUUCUCAUGCUUUACUCUUCCGUUUUUGUGUAGACGCCUUAUAUGUGUAGACAUAUGGCGGGUCUGGGCGCGCACCGGGCGGGCCUAUGCCGGGUCCCGGGGCGUGACAAAAGAUUUCUAACCCUAGCUCACUCCUAGCUUGGUUUGGAGCUUCUAGAGAGGUUAGUAGUUUUGAUCUUUCAUUUGAUUCAUGUUUUGGUAGUUUUUUUUAGGGAAAAACCUAGAAAUGAGAAUCUAGGGUUUUAUUUGGGGUUUCUUGAUUUGAGGCUUUUGAGUUGGAAUUGAUGGGUGUAGAACACUCUUAUAGAUUGGAUUUGAAGCUUUCUAGCUUCGAUAUGGGCUUUGAUCAAGUUCUUCUUGACCCAAGGUAUCUUUACACUUUAGUAUGUGUAAUUUUCGAAGUAGUCGUUUUGUAGCUUUUAAUCCUUUAGAAUUUCUCUUAGGGUGCUAGAAGCUUGGGGGACAACUUCGUUCGAAGAAAAGAAAGGGUUCGAAGUGCUUCCGAUGGGUUUGAUCUCACCGAAAUGGGUGAACUCCCCCUAUGUCUUCCUUAUGAUUUUAAGACAUAUUUAGAUGCUUAUUCAUACUUAAUACGACAUGCUAAAAUUUAUGAAAACAUAAUACAUACAUGUUAUGUAUAGUCAAAUUUGAUGCUCUAUGUUGUAGAGGCUUAUAUGUGAACUUGUGCACGAACUAUCACUAUUUGAUGAUUCUUUUUUAUGCAACCAUAGAAAGCAUGUUAGAGCAUGAAUGAUGGUAUAACUCUUAGGGGGUGUCUAGUGAAUGGCUUAGCAAAGUGAUUAUCUCACAUGAUGAACAAUAUACUUGUGACGACAAGGACAUGUGACAUUGCGACCUAGUGAAUAACAAGGCUAGACAUGAAACUAAGCAUGUUGCAUUUCAACCUAGUGGGAUGCCUAGGGCUUGAUAUUAUGACAAUGUAUUGACUUUGAGAUUGAUAGUGUCACGCCCCGGGACCGGCGGAGGCCCUCCCGGUAGCGUGCCCAGACCCGCCAUAUGUCUGCACAUAUAAGGCGUCUAC